RNAcentral lists this ribosomal RNA (333 nucleotides) under uncultured Bacillota bacterium. RNAcentral describes it as "bacterial SSU rRNA". It matches the Rfam family "Bacterial small subunit ribosomal RNA", at positions 28 to 351 of the family's 1533-position model. Lineage: Bacteria; Bacillati; Bacillota. The record is from RNAcentral.
GACGAACGCUGGCGGCGUGCCUAAUACAUGCAAGUCGAGCGGAUUGAUUCGGAGCUUGCUCCGAAGAUGUCAGCGGCGGACGGGUGAGUAACACGUGGGCAAUCUGCCCGACAGACUGGGAUAACGCUUGGAAACGAGUGCUAAUACCGGAUAGGCUCUUGGAUCGCAUGAUCUGAGAGGGAAAGAAGCUAUCGCUUCACUGUCGGAUGAGCCCGCGGCGCAUUAGCUAGUUGGUGAGGUAAUGGCUCACCAAGGCGACGAUGCGUAGCCGACCUGAGAGGGUGACCGGCCACACUGGGACUGAGACACGGCCCAGACUCCUACGGGAGGCAG